This is a small nuclear RNA of Malania oleifera, 160 nucleotides long. RefSeq annotates it as U1 spliceosomal RNA. The transcript has a single exon. The record is from RefSeq and is a predicted model, not a curated record. Lineage: Eukaryota; Viridiplantae; Streptophyta; Magnoliopsida; Santalales; Ximeniaceae.
AUACUUACCUGGACGGGGUCUAUGGGUGAUCAACAAGGCCCACGGCCUAGAUUGGUGGCUUCCAUUGCACUCGGGAGGUGCACCAGUCUAACAUCUCCCCAAGUGGGAGAGUGUACGUCAUAAUUUGUGGUAGAGGGGGCCUGCGUCCGCGCGGCCCCUA